CGAAUGCUGACAUAAGUAACGAUAAAGCGGGUGAAAAGCCCGCUCGCCGGAAGACCAAGGGUUCCUGUCCAACGUUAAUCGGGGCAGGGUGAGUCGACCCCUAAGGCGAGGCCGAAAGGCGUAGUCGAUGGGAAACAGGUUAAUAUUCCUGUACUUGGUGUUACUGCGAAGGGGGGACGGAGAAGGCUAUGUUGGCCGGGCGACGGUUGUCCCGGUUUAAGCGUGUAGGCUGGUUUUCCAGGCAAAUCCGGAAAAUCAAGGCUGAGGCGUGAUGACGAGGCACUACGGUGCUGAAGCAACAAAUGCCCUGCUUCCAGGAAAAGCCUCUAAGCAUCAGGUAACAUCAAAUCGUACCCCAAACCGACACAGGUGGUCAGGUAGAGAAUACCAAGGCGCUUGAGAGAACUCGGGUGAAGGAACUAGGCAAAAUGGUGCCGUAACUUCGGGAGAAGGCACGCUGAUAUGUAGGUGAAGUCCCUCGCGGAUGGAGCUGAAAUCAGUCGAAGAUACCAGCUGGCUGCAACUGUUUAUUAAAAACACAGCACUGUGCAAACACGAAAGUGGACGUAUACGGUGUGACGCCUGCCCGGUGCCGGAAGGUUAAUUGAUGGGGUCAGCGCAAGCGAAGCUCUUGAUCGAAGCCCCGGUAAACGGCGGCCGUAACUAUAACGGUCCUAAGGUAGCGAAAUUCCUUGUCGGGUAAGUUCCGACCUGCACGAAUGGCGUAAUGAUGGCCAGGCUGUCUCCACCCGAGACUCAGUGAAAUUGAACUCGCUGUGAAGAUGCAGUGUACCCGCGGCAAGACGGAAAGACCCCGUGAACCUUUACUAUAGCUUGACACUGAACAUUGAGCCUUGAUGUGUAGGAUAGGUGGGAGGCUUUGAAGUGUGGACGCCAGUCUGCAUGGAGCCGACCUUGAAAUACCACCCUUUAAUGUUUGAUGUUCUAACGUGGACCCGUGAUCCGGGUUGCGGACAGUGUCUGGUGGGUAGUUUGACUGGGGCGGUCUCCUCCUAAAGAGUAACGGAGGAGCACGAAGGUUGGCUAAUCCUGGUCGGACAUCAGGAGGUUAGUGCAAUGGCAUAAGCCAGCUUGACUGCGAGCGUGACGGCGCGAGCAGGUGCGAAAGCAGGUCAUAGUGAUCCGGUGGUUCUGAAUGGAAGGGCCAUCGCUCAACGGAUAAAAGGUACUCCGGGGAUAACAGGCUGAUACCGCCCAAGAGUUCAUAUCGACGGCGGUGUUUGGCACCUCGAUGUCGGCUCAUCACAUCCUGGGGCUGAAGUAGGUCCCAAGGGUAUGGCUGUUCGCCAUUUAAAGUGGUACGCGAGCUGGGUUUAGAACGUCGUGAGACAGUUCGGUCCCUAUCUGCCGUGGGCGCUGGAGAACUGAGGGGGGCUGCUCCUAGUACGAGAGGACCGGAGUGGACGCAUCACUGGUGUUCGGGUUGUCAUGCCAAUGGCACUGCCCGGUAGCUAAAUGCGGAAGAGAUAAGUGCUGAAAGCAUCUAAGCACGAAACUUGCCCCGAGAUGAGUUCUCCCUGACCCUUUAAGGGUCCUGAAGGAACGUUGAAGACGACGACGUUGAUAGGCCGGGUGUGUAAGCGCAGCGAUGCGUUGAGCUAACCGGUACUAAUGAA
This 1637-nucleotide ribosomal RNA is filed under the name Escherichia coli. Its description in RNAcentral is "partial 23S ribosomal RNA". It matches the Rfam family "Bacterial large subunit ribosomal RNA", at positions 1291 to 2908 of the family's 2925-position model. The record is from RNAcentral. Lineage: Bacteria; Pseudomonadati; Pseudomonadota; Gammaproteobacteria; Enterobacterales; Enterobacteriaceae.